AUGAAGGAACAAGCGUCUGUCCCCUUCCGUGAGCAACAGUACAAGCCCUCACCGUUACAGUCUGGUGGGAAGAUUCGCCUAUCUUCUGUUUUCUUUGUGGCGGAUUCUUUUCAGAGGAAAAGGUGGAAAGAGGAGGGGUCAGGUAAACCCACAGCUCCCAGAGCAGCAGGAGUCCAACAGCCUCAGAGAUCGGGAAAGAGAGGACCGAGCCUUCCUCAAGCCCUCCUCUUACCCAGCUUCCUUCUGCCUUUCAAGUGAAAUUCCAUCCCUAGUGUAAGCAGGGCCCCAGGAGUAAGAGGAAGACCACUACCAAGACCGAAUUCUUGGCUUGGCCGCUGUCACCCCUGCCCUUUGUUGUAAGGAGAAAGAAUACAGUGUGCUGUAUAGAUCCCUCUUCCCAAAGCACAUGUCGUUUGGAUCUCUCUGCUAGAGAGAGCUAAGAAAGAAGGAGGUGACUCAGAACUUGCUUCUCAGAACCUCGAGUGGGAACCCAGCUGGGCUGCAGGAAGUGUGGGGUCGGAGUGAAAGAACCCCCACAUUCCUCCCUUUUAGCUCCCAGCAGCCUCCUGCCUACUGCUAGUAGACUAGUCCCCAGUUUGUUCACUUCCUCUGCUUCUGCUGACAUCAGUGCAGAUCUUGUCACAGAAAGGUCCCUGCGUAGAUAAGACUGACUUCUUGCUAUUACUGCCUUCACAGACUUGAUAAUGUAGUGGCGGUUUAGAAGGAGAGAUAAAAUCUUCAGGGCAUUAAACAUGUCCAUGAGGCCAGUCGGUGAUGGCACACUCCUUUAAUCCCAGCAGAGGCAGGAGUAUCUCUGUCAGUUCAAGGCAAGUCUGGUCCACAGAGUGAGUUCCAGGACAACUACAGCUGUUUCGAAAAGAAACCCUGUCUGGAAAAAACAAAACAAAAUCAUGCCCUGAAUAACAAUACAACAUACAGUAGAUUCCACUGCUGGUUUUGGUCCCAAUAAUUUCUCUCCUGGAUGUUUUUCUUCUGAAAAAAAAAAAAAAAGAAAGAAAAAUGUCUCAAAGUCAUCAAAAUGGCUCCAAGCCUGAGGAAUACAGUUGGUCCCCCAAACCUGAAGGGACCAGCUUCCCUUUUGGCAGCCAUAACAGCUGAAAACGUGCUUCUAUGACCUUGUCCUAGACACUAGAAAGUCAGAUGCCUGCCUCGUGACAAGUAACCAAUCAGAAGUUACCUGGUGGUGCUAUGCUUUACGACCCUGGGUGUGCUUUACGGACAAGCGCACAGCAAUGACACACAGAGUAUGGCAACCAUCCUGGGAGGGCCUAUGGACCAUAACAACCAGGUGACCAAUCAACACAGGGCAAGUCCUCCAAGCCUGGAGGCACACCAAUCGUGAGCCUGUGCGUACCCCAGAACACUCCCCUUACGCUGUCCUAUAAGAUCUCUCGGGAGGCCCUAGGAGCCGUCUUUUGCGAGCCAUCCGCCAUGGCGGAUGGGUGAAAGACCCGAGCUAACAUGGGGUUAGCUCGUUAAAUUACAAUAAAGCCUCGUGCAAUUUGCAUCAAGCUCUUGGAUCUGCCUGAUGAUUGGGGUGACCGCAGUCGUGGCCUGGGACCUCGGAUACCUGAGUUUUUCAAGGGUCAAACAAACCCACAUGGUGGAAGAGAAGAACGGACUCCCACUGACCUCCCCAUCCAUGUUGUGGCAGACCCACAGCCAUACAUAAAAUUAAAAUGUAACAAAAAUUUUAAAUAAAUAAACUGGUCUAACUACUUAGCCCAGACUAGUGCCAAACCUGCUCUUUCUGCCUUUGCCUCUUGUGCUAGGAUUAUGAACCAUCAGCUUCCUCCCUGGCUGGAUUAUUGGCCAGCCUCUAGCUGCCAUUGUCGUUGCUUCUCUCUCCUUUCCUGCCCUAACUCCUGGUUUCAGGUAGUUGGGUACCCAGAUGUGUAUCCAACAGG
RNAcentral lists this long non-coding RNA (1928 nucleotides) under Cricetulus griseus (Chinese hamster). Its description in RNAcentral is "lncRNA (ENSCGRG00000024300.1)". Lineage: Eukaryota; Metazoa; Chordata; Mammalia; Rodentia; Cricetidae. The record is from RNAcentral.